RNAcentral lists this ribosomal RNA (509 nucleotides) under uncultured Bifidobacterium sp. RNAcentral describes it as "bacterial SSU rRNA". It matches the Rfam family "Bacterial small subunit ribosomal RNA", at positions 8 to 524 of the family's 1533-position model. Lineage: Bacteria; Bacillati; Actinomycetota; Actinomycetes; Bifidobacteriales; Bifidobacteriaceae. The record is from RNAcentral.
AGAGUUUGAUCCUGGCUCAGGAUGAACGCUGGCGGCGUGCUUAACACAUGCAAGUCGAACGGGAUCCCGGGGGUUCGCYYCCGGGUGAGAGUGGCGAACGGGUGAGUAAUGCGUGACCGACCUGCCCCAUACACCGGAAUAGCUCCUGGAAACGGGUGGUAAUGCCGGAUGCUCCGGUUGGAUGCAUGUCCUUCCGGGAAAGAUUCCAUCGGUAUGGGAUGGGGUCGCGUCCUAUCAGCUUGAUGGCGGGGUAACGGCCCACCAUGGCUUCGACGGGUAGCCGGCCUGAGAGGGCGACCGGCCACAUUGGGACUGAGAUACGGCCCAGACUCCUACGGGAGGCAGCAGUGGGGAAUAUUGCACAAUGGGCGCAAGCCUGAUGCAGCGACGCCGCGUGCGGGAUGGAGGCCUUCGGGUUGUAAACCGCUUUUGAUCGGGAGCAAGCCCUUCGGGGUGAGUGUACCYUUCGAAUAAGCACCGGCUAACUACGUGCCAGCAGCCGCGGUAAU